GUCAUUGGAAACUGGGAGACUUGAGUGCAGAAGAGGAAAGUGGAAUUCCAUGUGUAGCGGUGAAAUGCGUAGAGAUAUGGAGGAACACCAGUGGCGAAGGCGACUUUCUGGUCUGUAACUGACACUGAGGCGCGAAAGCGUGGGGAGCAAACAGGAUUAGAUACCCUGGUAGUCCACGCCGUAAACGAUGAGUGCUAAGUGUUAGAGGGUUUCCGCCCUUUAGUGCUGAAGUUAACGCAUUAAGCACUCCGCCUGGGGAGUACGGGCCGCAAGGCUGAAACUCAAAGGAAUUGACGGGGGCCCGCACAAGCGGUGGAGCAUGUGGUUUAAUUCGGAAGCAACGGCGAGGAAUCUUUACCAGGUCUUGACAUCCUUCUGAACAACCCUAGAAGAUAGGGGCUUCCUCUUCGGAAGCAGAGGUGACCAGGUGGGUGCAUGGGUUGUCGUCCAGCUCCGUGGUCCUGAGAAUGUUGGGUUAAGGUCCCGCAAAGCGAGGGCGCAACCCCUGGAUUCUUUAGUUGCCAUUCAUUUUAUGUUUGGCUACUUCCUAAGGGGUGACUGGCCGGGUGAACAAACCGUGAGGGAAGGGUGGGGUAUAUACAUUCUAAAUCCUUAUUGUCCCCUUAUUAGACCUGGGGGGUUCACCCCACGGGUCUAACAUGUGGAAGAAAACAAGGAGGAGUGAACAUGGUCUUCCUCG
RNAcentral lists this ribosomal RNA (700 nucleotides) under uncultured bacterium. Its description in RNAcentral is "bacterial SSU rRNA". It matches the Rfam family "Bacterial small subunit ribosomal RNA", at positions 622 to 1269 of the family's 1533-position model. The record is from RNAcentral.